CACCGUCCGUCGGUCCUACCGAUUGAAUGGUCCGGUGAAGUGUUCAGAUCGCGGCGACGUGGGCGGUUCGUUGCCCGCGACGUCACGAGAAGUCCACUGAACCUUAUCAUUUAGAGGAAGGAGAAGUCGUAACAAGGUUUUCGUAGGUGAACCUGCGGAAG
Gossypium hirsutum (cotton) is the source of this 161-nucleotide non-coding RNA. The record is from Rfam. NCBI's taxonomy places the organism in Eukaryota, Viridiplantae, Streptophyta, Magnoliopsida, Malvales, Malvaceae.